AGCGAACGCUGGCGGCAGGCUUAACACAUGCAAGUCGAGCGGGCAUCUUCGGAUGUCAGCGGCAGACGGGUGAGUAACACGUGGGAACGUACCCUUCGGUUCGGAACAACUCUGGGAAACUGGAGCUAAUACCGGAUACGCCCUUAUGGGGAAAGGUUUACUGCCGAAGGAUCGGCCCGCGUCUGAUUAGCUAGUUGGUGGGGUAACGGCCUACCAAGGCGACGAUCAGUAGCUGGUCUGAGAGGAUGAUCAGCCACACUGGGACUGAGACACGGCCCAGAGUGGUAGGGGAGGGAGAAGUGGGGAAUAGUGGAGAAGGGGCGCAAGCGGGAUAGAGGCAUAGGGCGUGGGUGAAGAAGGCCUUCGGGUGGGAGAGGAAUGUUGUUGGGAAAGAAAAGAAGCAGGUGAAUACCCCGGGGUGAUGACGGUACCAAAAGAAUAAGAACCGGCUAACUUAGUG
This 460-nucleotide ribosomal RNA is filed under the name uncultured bacterium. RNAcentral describes it as "partial 16S ribosomal RNA". It matches the Rfam family "Bacterial small subunit ribosomal RNA", at positions 30 to 507 of the family's 1533-position model. The record is from RNAcentral.